This 1265-nucleotide long non-coding RNA is filed under the name Sus scrofa (pig). RNAcentral's name for it is "lncRNA (ENSSSCG00070006046.1)". The record is from RNAcentral. Lineage: Eukaryota; Metazoa; Chordata; Mammalia; Artiodactyla; Suidae.
UCUGUAAAGAUCCAAGAUGAUUGCCGAGGUCCAGCCCCAGCAGCCAGGAGUGCCGAAGGAGAGGAUGGCUACAAACGGCGCGGAAAGAAUUGGAGCCAACUCCUCAGCUGCAUGCUGCAGAUGACCCAAUUUAUUAAAUGAAAAGCAUCAGUUUUGUACCAUUUCACAAUCAGAUUUCGUGUAAGAUUUAACAUUAACAUUUGAUUUAAAGCCCUUUUGUUCCCUCCACCCGAGAUACAAAAAAUAAGCUUAGUUAAAACAUGUUCCUUUCAACUUCAGAUUUUCCUACAAGAUUACAACUUAAAGUUUCACACUGUAUUUUUCUUAAAAGGUCAACAACAGUAGCUGUUCUAUUCUAUAUUAAGAACAAAGCUUUAAUAAGUAAUAAACUAUGAUACCUAACAUUAACUAAAGGUGUAUGUGGUUAACAAAACACAUGAAAGCUUUGGGCUCAUGGCAUUCCUAAAACCACGAUUUAUUUGGCGCCAGGCAAGCUAAGCAUUUAACCUAUGUACUGAUUUACGUAAGUUCCAAACCACCAAUUUCAAUAGAAAGGAGUAUUAUACCCAAAAAUUAACAAAUGCCCCCACAAGGGAUGAAAGCUACAAGUGACACUGUUAAAAAAUAUAUCUAUUAUAGAAAAUAGCAAUUUAUAGGCCAAACAACAUUUUCCCAGUCUCAAACUUCUUUUUAAGUAAAGGGACUGAAAUCAUAAGUUUCCCUGAAUACUCUCACAAAUAGGUGCCAUAAAUUGUUACUCCAAAACAAAGGCUUUUUCCAUUACAUUGUUUAAACAACUUCAUUCUGUUUUGGUUCAAGUGUUUUACGUACCCAGGGCAAAUCUUUAGCAGUAAGAAAGCUGUGAAUAGAGAUAGAAAAGGAAAGAUAAACACAGAAAAAUAGAUUAACAUAUUUUUAGGGGAUAUCAUUUUUAUUUUCCUGGAACCGAUGUCUUUCAAGGGAUUGCUCUGCAAUCCUUCUUCUUUCUUCAGCUUGUCUGUAGCUCUGCUAACCAGACAAGCCCCACGCAUCCGCAAUCCUUCUUCUUUCUUCAGCUUGUCUGUAGCUCUGCUAACCAGACAAGCCCCACGCAUCCGCAAUCCUUCUUCUUUCUUCAGCUUGUCUGUAGCUCUGCUAACCAGACAAGCCUCAUGCAGGUGCCGACUGUGGCUUUGCUUUCUUUACUGGAGCAGCCCUAUGGCUCCCGACAGAUGAUGUUUUAGGUGAAUAUUCCUUUUUUGAAGAAAUCUUAGGAGUCUCUGUUA